UGUCCGUUCUUGUACCAGAUGUAGGUGGGGUUGUCAGUCAGAGUACAGGUGGUGAUACAGGUCAGUGUCUUCUGUCCCUCUGCAGCAGGAG
This is a long non-coding RNA of Oncorhynchus kisutch (coho salmon), 91 nucleotides long. RefSeq lists it as uncharacterized. The record is from RefSeq and is a predicted model, not a curated record. NCBI's taxonomy places the organism in Eukaryota, Metazoa, Chordata, Actinopteri, Salmoniformes, Salmonidae. The transcript has 2 exons.